RNAcentral lists this ribosomal RNA (300 nucleotides) under uncultured bacterium. RNAcentral describes it as "bacterial SSU rRNA". It matches the Rfam family "Bacterial small subunit ribosomal RNA", at positions 496 to 795 of the family's 1533-position model. The record is from RNAcentral.
GGUAAGUUCGGGUAAGAAGCGGGGGUAAUAGGAAGGAUGGAAGCGUGAGUCGGAGUUAUUGGGUGUAAAGGGUGCGGAGGCGGCUUUUUAAGUCAGUGGUGAAAGGUGCAUGCGUAACAUGGAAAUUGCAAUUGAUACUGAUGAGCUGUAGUACAUUUGAAGUGGGCGGAAUAUGUCGUGUAGAGGUGAAAUUCUUAGAGAUGACAUAGAACACCGAUUGCGAAGGCAGCUCACUAAACUGUAACUGACGCUGAGGCACGAAAGCGUGGGGAUCAAACAGGAUUAGAUACCCUAGUAGUC